Molecule: transfer RNA, 74 nt
Filed under: Candidatus Altarchaeales archaeon IMC4
Lineage: Archaea; Nanobdellati; Candidatus Altarchaeota; Candidatus Altarchaeia; Candidatus Altarchaeales
Description: Candidatus Altiarchaeales archaeon IMC4 tRNA-Tyr
Rfam family: tRNA
About the family: Transfer RNA (tRNA) molecules are approximately 80 nucleotides in length.
Source: RNAcentral
CCCGUCUUAGCGUAGCUUGGUAACGCGUCUGGCUGUAGACCGGAAGAUCCCCGGUUCAAAUCCGGGAGACGGGA